Long non-coding RNA from Prinia subflava (tawny-flanked prinia), 11210 nucleotides. RefSeq lists it as uncharacterized. The record is from RefSeq and is a predicted model, not a curated record. Lineage: Eukaryota; Metazoa; Chordata; Aves; Passeriformes; Cisticolidae. The transcript is spliced from 4 exons.
UGUAAAAUUACAAAUUAUAUUAUUGGUCAUAAAAUUAAGAAGUCCCUUGAAAAAUACCAUUACAAUAUUUAACUCUUUGACCUCUGUAGGUUAACAAAUAUUCACACUGUGAAAAAACUGAUUUCAUGCUUAUUUUUUAACUAAUGCAGUAAGUUUCUUAAAAUCAUUUCAGCUAAUGAUGGAAAUACAUUCUGUGCAAUGCCUAUAAAAUAUACCCCUAAUUUACUGAUGUCCUGAAGCCUUGAAAAAUAUCCAGCAUUAUUCAAAAAAGUUACAUAAACCAGCUACUUAGUUAUCUAAGUACUACAGCAAAGCUGAAGUGAGUUUGUUGGGACAAACCAUGAGUUGAUAGGUUUUGACCUAAUUAAUGUUAAAUUAGCUUGUUUUUAAAAUGGGGUUAUGCCCACAUAAGACAAAUUUCUUUUUCUUUUUGCCCUUCUUUUAUUUCUAGUGCUUGUGUUUCAGGCAUUGAAAGCAGUCUCUCUCACCCAGCUCUGCUAAGCUGCUGUGCCCACAUGCCACCCUUCCCUGCAGUACCUGGGCAGGCUUCUCACCAAGUCCAUCUACAAUAGCAAUUAUGCCAGCACUGAUUUUGGAAUACAAAUAAAUGCCCAUUGAAUACUGCAUUGAGACAGUCAAACCAUCACUGACAUUAGGUGUUUCUUUUUUUUUUUUUUUUCCCAAAGCCUUAACACUUUGAAUCACAACACUUUCCUGAAAAUUGUUUAAUAAGCUUCUUUUACCAAAAUAGAAAACAUGAGGAGAGAAGGAAUAACACAUCUUUAAUUAGAAAAAUUCAAAUCAGCUCUUAAUUUAAUUCACUAUACCAGCAGCCAUGAUUAGGUCUGCAUCAUGAUAUAUCUCCAAUACUAUCAAUUUUCAUAAAUGCAAAGUUUCCUGAAUAUGGUUCUGAUGUAUCCUGACAUUUUAAAAUAUGUCCUAUUGUCCUUUCCUGUGCAGCAGACCAAGCACAGAGUGUUCAGUCCUAUAUCACUGUCACAGUGGUAUUAGACCAGAUGGCUGCUUCCUUGCAGAAUCAAGAAUUAGAGAUAAUUUAUGCUGUUCACUGUUAUUAGAAUGUAAAAAUAUAAAGAGUUUGCAGCAUGCAUACAUGAAAAGCUGCUCAGAUCCAUCAGUGACAUCCUGGUGCAAAGCACUUAGCCUGUUACUGCACUCUUAAAGGUAAAGUCUUUGGUGAAGCCAUGGACUUGUGCAAAGCUACGGACUGCUCUGCAUAGGACACAACACAGGGACUAGCUGACCUUUGUUACACUGCUGCUUUGGUGGGGAAAGAAUAUUCUAAGUUGGGAAAAAUGUCCAAAAGCUGCCUUCUUUCUUCUUUCUUGUAAAAUAAUUCCACCACAUCACCGUUCCCAUUAACAUGUGACAGUUAUUUUUGUGUCACGAAGAAUGAAGUUAAAAAUGAAAGCUUUCUUCAUUCAGUCUGUUAAUCAGUACAGGAGAAUACUUCUCAGUAAGACCUCAUACCAAAGGGCAUGAGAGUUGCAUAAAUUUCCUCCCGUGCCAGUGAGGGAAGCAAGUUUUCCUUAUCAGGGCAUCAUUGCAACCUGUGUCUCUGCUCUACCUGUAUGUAUGUAUGUAUGCACCACAGUGUGUCAAAAUACUGAAAAGAAAGGGUGUCAGCCUGCCCAUUUAUUGAUCUGAGCUCAUCAUAGGUAAGAAUCUUGUUUGUAUUUCAAACAGCUGAAUCAUUUGAUAAAGAUAUGUUAUUAAUGCAGCUAAUUCAUUUGGAGGGACUUCUCAACCUAUGCAGGAAUUAAAAUGUCUCAGGUUCCUAAAAAAGGGGGGAGAAAUGAAGGGACAGAGAACUUAAUAAGCUUGCCCAGGUUGCUGCAAUAAAUUGCAUGAGAACAGAAGUAAAAAGGAUGUAAGGACAACCAAAUGUCAAACAUUGUUUGCAAGUAGCAAUAGUUUGUUGCUUUACCUUUCCAUCUCGGAAGUUUAGCACAGUAGUCCCUACAAAUGAUGUCAGAGCUGUAGCCAGACUAAGAACAAACAUUUUCAUCAGUAUUUAGGAGAAAUUUUACUGGCAUUCACUGAAAUGACACAAUCAUUCUGUGUGAUUUUGGAAAAAGUGUAUCACUGAGAGAAUUAUUUGGUUCAGUUUAAAUUAAUCUUUAAAGUAUACUAAGGAACAUUACUAGGGACAGAUUUGUUUCAGCUCUCUGUGAGCAUAUAAUUUGUAUUUAUGGCAUACAGUGGAAGUAUUGUGACUUUGAAUGACUGACUAACACCUUAUGAAAGUCAUUACUUUUGUAUCAAGAACAAUAUUUGUAACAUAAUGUGUUCUUAAACUGAUCAGGACAGCAGGAAGCAGCUAAGUGGAUCACUUAUCUUUAUUUUGCAAUUUAACCUAUGUUAUGACAGGGAACAAAAAAAUUAGAUAAUUUAUAAUUUUCUGUCAGUGAUGCAUAUUUGGGGCUGAGAUUGUAACUACUUGGUAUAACUGAAGAGUAAGGAGAUUUGGCUGCCAAAUAAAACAGUACAAGAAAGGUAACUUUAGAAUACAGUGAAUUACUAGCUGACUGUUAGAACCAGAUCACAAAGAUUUCUUGCAUUUUUGUUUCUUGACCAGUGCUGUAGAUGAUGGAAUUUUACCCUGUAAAAAUCCUAGAACUAGUUUUAUUAAAAUAAAGUCUAUCAGAAUAGAAGAUAGUUGUUAUGCAGGAGCAGUAACUCACAUAAUAUGAGAUGGCAUUUCUUUCCAGCUCUUGCUGCUCCGCUGGUUCUAAUAGCAACCUGGAGCUCAAUUUCCUCCUCAAGAACAUUGCAUUUCAUGUGGAAUGUCAAUUAUUAAAAUGCAGUGUCCCGUGUCUUACUUUUCACUAGAUGAAUUCAUUUGCAAAUUUGCUAAUUUAUGUAAAUGAUCCUUAACCUGUAACUGCCUGGCAUGUAUUUCUGAAUGCCUCUUUUCAAUUCAGAAAUACAUACAAAGAGUCUCAACAGCACAUUAAUUAUUUUGUGUCACUGUUCCAAACCCCAAAGAUUUAAUUUCAGAGUAACCCUGAAAGAGUAUCUGAGGCUUCUUUCCAUUUUGCAUUUUCACUAUCAUUAGACACUCAAAACAGGUAAAUGAUCUUUAAAGGAGUAUCUCUAGCCAUUAUCAUUGGUGCUAAGUACAGUUUUAGUACAAUAUUUUUGAGAAGCUAUGACCUGAAACUCUGAGUUUUUAAUUUGAUUUUCAGUUUUCAAUUUUUCUCAGGAGGUCAUUGUUACUUACAAGGGGCCCAAUCACAAAUCCCAAGAUCAUUCCUAAAUUUCAAAUUUUUUGCAGCUCAGUCUCUCCUCUGCAUUUUAGAAGUUAAAAGACAGAUGGGGAAUUUCCUUCAAGCAGUCAGUGUUUCAGCUGCAACUCUGAUCUGCACAUGGAUGCCAUUUUAGAUUGGGCACUUCAUUUCUGGUUCCACCAGAAGCACAAUCUCUGUGAACCCAUAACAGUUUAUUUCACUCUCCAAAUGAUUUCAGGAAACUCAAACUCAUCCUAUCUGUCCUCAGCUCCUAUGAAAAAAGUGAUAUUAAGAAAAACCCAGCUGAAGAUGUAAAUUUUUGCCUGAUUUAUCUCUGCUGCCCACCCAAACCUCUCCAAUGUUCUCAGGGACCAACAACAGUUUAGAACCUGUCAAUGAACCUGGUCCCAGUUGGGGAUUUUAACAAAACCUAAAAUGAAGCAAUUUCCUUCCAUGUUGUUACUGUUCUGUAACUUCCCACAGUCCAAAUAAUAGGAUUCAGAUUCCCUGUGGUGUAAUUGCAGUCACAACUCCAUUGAUUUCAGUGACCUGUGAAUGGCAGGUAGGACUAUGGCCCAAGGCCUCCUCUUGACAAACCAGCUAGAGCUCGCUUUCUCUUGACUAUUAUCUGAUUUACAUGUCCUUGUUUCAGAUGCCCGCCACACGGGGUAGGUGAACAAAGCUCUGUUUCAGAGCCAGCUACAGAGAUCUUUCCCAGCCAGCGCGGACGUCCCACGAGCAGGACUCGGCUGUGAGCCUGAGCUGCAGGGCACGAGUCCUUCCCUGUGCUCCUGACUGGCCAGCCCUGCCUGGGGCCCUUGCAGGCACUGUUGCUGUCUGUAACUGAGCUGAGGUUUUGUUCCCCCAGGGUGUGAGGGAGGGAGAGAGGGACGAGGUGCCUCCAGCUGAGAGGCCAACACGCCAGCGCGCCAACCCCAGCUUGCUCCUCCGGAGCUGGAGCGCUCUUGUGUCUGAGUGUUUACGUUGGCUUUAGGAGCUGCAAAGCCAAGAAAUGUUUGGCUGCUUUGUCUCUGUUUCAGCAUUCGGAUUGCUAAGACAAAAUCUCAAACGGCCACUUGCUGUGUGUUCUGCAGACAUUUUAGCACAAAAUCAGCAUCUCCAGAAUCACAGAUUCCUCCCACAGCGCCCUGAGGUCUUGGGUGUUCGAUUCGAUUUCUGCUGGGACAGCAGCAGGGAAGAUUAGCUAACACAGUUGUAAUUUUGGAAUUAAAACAUCUUUCCCUCUAUUUUAUUGCUGUUACCUGCAAAAAUGUCUAUAUCUGAAAUUCAAAGUAGCCUUUAAUCUGCUGCUUAGUUUUCUCCACAAAGGAUAUACUUUACAGGAUAAUGUCUCUUUAAAUCUACCCCGAAGAUAUUCCUCCUGGCCCAGAAGAUGCCAAAAUGACUUGAUGAUUUAUUUAUGUGGAGCUUGGCAGACCAUAGUCCAGAUUGUGGCUGAGGCUGAAUUUUAUGAGCAUCCCCCCUAGUGAGUAUAUUUAAAAAUUAAAAAAAAAAAAAAGAAAAAGAGGUCUUCACAGAUCUUGGCAUAAGAACCAAGCAAAUAUUAUCAGAGAGAAGAAUGGCUAGGAGGUGAGUUUUAGGACAGAAUAUAAAUAUUAAUUUUUAAAAAAAGUGUUUAGAGAAUUAGAAUUUUCUCUUCAUCUUCAAAAAAUUAGAAAUAUGAAGUGGGCAUUUCUCAUUUCAGUAGAAUCAAGUGUUUGGUCUUUAAUUUUUUUAGCCAUAUACUUGGCAUUUUGUUCUGGGAACUGGCUUUUUUUUUUUUUUUUGCACAGAAAGAUGGAUGUCUCAUUGUCAUUCCAGACCAUACAAGCAGCAUGUUGGUGCAAUGAUGUAAGAAAGCAAUUUUCUGCCCUAUUUUAUUGAUUUAUAGUAUUUUAGUAAAGUGAUAAAAACUUAAUGCUAGGGAUAAAAAGGAGUCUCAUCUGAUGUAGAGGCAGUAGAAGAGAAUAGAGAAUGAGGAAGAGACUGCAUUAAUACAUAUUUGCCAUGUUUUCUCAGGCCUCUCCUGUACAAGAUCAACUAAGUUAUAAAAACUGUGUCUAACUUUUUGACUAAGAUAUUGUCCAGACAUUGAUCCCUUCUUUCAAGGCACAGGUUGGUGCAGGAUUCUGGCUCCUGGAAGCAUACGCAUGCACAAGCACAGGAAAAUCCUGAAGGCCACAGCAGCCAGGACAACUGUCAAUAGUCCUGACUCUUUUGAACAGGGACCCUGAGUGCUGCAGAAACAGAUUUGGGGGCACUUUUGCAAUAGACAAGAAUUGCAUUUAAUUUAAUUUCAUCUGCUUCUCUGCAGUUCCUUGGGCAGCUUGUCCAAGGGGUGGUACAAAACUCUGGGCUAACAGAGUUCACAUUUUUGCUUGCUGCAGAGGAACUCCUGAAGCGGACAAGUCCAGAGGCAGAAACUCCUAAAUCCUUAGACUUUUCAAGCCCAUAAAGGGCCCCAGAUACCAUUCCAGAGUAUCAGAAAGAUGAACAAAUGAACAAUGAUACCAGAUCAGUACUGGGUUUCUUAUGUUGGCACAGAUUUGUGGCUGACAAGCUGUGACUCCAUGGAAGCGAUGGUAACAGGCUGAGAUGUUACUUUCAAUAUCAUACCAGAGACUGAAAUAAACAGGCAGUGCUGGCAGGUCUGGCUGCACAGCACUCCAGGGGCCUAUGAAUGCAAAAAUGUGCAGUGGGAGCUGAGCAGAAAUUAGCUCAGAGCAGAAGUCACAGGCACCAGGAAACCAGCUCAGAGGGAACCUCUGCAGGAAUGUGAUGCUUUCCAAUUCCACUGUCCAGUGAAUCCCAGGAAAGUUUUCUCCUAGUUUGAUUGCAGAGAUGGGGUCUCACUCUCCAUAAACCAGCACAAAUUCCUCAAGGUUUAAAGCAGAUAUAUCAGAUUAAGGGAGGAAAUCUACUACAGUGAAUCAAAUCAAAGCAAUAUUUUACUCUUAUCUCUAGAUGAAAUUUCUCUUGGUUUUGUAAAAUUCCUGCUCCAUUUGAAAUUAUGAUCCUUUUAAGUUUACAUUUAUCAUAACAGGAUUCAGACUGUUCAAGGUGCUGAUGAGAGCAACAUUCAGCCUGUGGUGCUGUGAUUUUUUUAAUAGGGAAGUAAUUUAGAGCUUUCUUCAGACUUCACUGUUUUUGCUCUCUCUCUCUCUGUAAUUACUCUCCUUUCACCUCUCACAUAUAAAGCUAUCCAGGGGAGCUAAAAAUGCUACUGAACUUGCAUAGAGGAAAAAUUUGUGAGACUGUAAGGUGAAUAUUCCUGACAGAAAGAUCUAUGGGCUGUGAAAUAGUGUCUCUAAAGAAAUUGUGAAAGCUCCAUUCCCCUGAGACGUUUAAAAUUAGAAGAAACAAAGCACUAUUACACACUAAGGAUAUAAUCCUGUUCUAGCCCCCUGUGAGCAGACUAACUGUUUCUAAUGUUUGAAACUCUGUAUAGUGGUACUGUUCAUAAUGCAAACCUACAAUUUAAUAAUGUUAAGGGUUUGACUUGAGGCUUGCUUAUGCAAGAAAAUGUACUCAGAUUACUAGAGUGGUAUAAUUAUAUCACCACAGUUCUAUCAGUAUAUCUCAGUGCUGCCUCUCUAACAAGUGCCUUAUUUGAGUUACUGUACACCAUUUCUAAAAGCCACAGAAGUACAAUAACAUGAGUAAAUUUUCUACACUAAGAUCACCUUCCCAGCUGCUGGGAAGGUGGGAAUCUUAUAAUUAUUAAGUUCUAGUUGAAGAAGAAAUGCACAAAUAAAGGCAUGAUGCACCAAACUCACAAUGAAGUUUAUUGUACGCACCACAGAAGAUGGAUAUUGAUGGCAAAAAGAAAGUAUCACUUAAAAUUCAGAACAGCAGCCUCACUUGCAAAAUGUAAGCAAAACUACAGUGUGUUCAAAGCAUGGACAAACUCACUCUCUAUUUUUUGCUUAUGUCUAAACAAUCUUAAAACAGAGCUGCUUCUAAACUACUCUUCAACCCUUUGAAUUUUUUGCUAUUAUUAUUGUAAGUUAGUAUCAAAAGACAGAAAGUGAUGGGGAAAGGUUUAUGUGAUUUUCUCUGAAGUAAAUGAGUUAUUUUACGAGAGUCCUUACUCUGAGAGUACAUCUACUGCAUAAAAUCAUGCAAAACUUCUGGUCCAUAAUUUGAAGCUACACACAACAGCAUUUUGAGAAGACGACUUGGGAGUUUGAAUAGUUCUAGGGAAUUUACCACAGCCACUAUUGAGAUGAAGCGGGGUCUUGAAAUAUUUUCAUAAUUCAAGUAAAAUUGUGGUGCCAACUUUGAGUUUUGGGUAUCAGCAUAAGCAAAUUUUCAAGACUAACAAAGGGUUAUAAAAUAUAUGCAAUGACAGGUCAUUAGACAGAGGGGUGCAGUUGGGCAAUUCUCUGUACAGUACACUGCCAAAUAGUGCCUUUCAACCAUCAGUUAUUCUAGAACUCUGCUUGUCUUGCAAGCUCUGUAUUUCACCAGGUGACAGUCUUAAUGGAUCUGGAAUGGGGGUGGAAUAGGAACUGUUCUUUAACUAAGAAAGAAAGGAAGAGAUGAAGAAAAUAAAUGUGGGGAAGGGAAAAUAAAAAGAAAGGAAGAGAAAGAUGCUUAGACUGCACAGCUACUCACCCUGGUCAGCUGCACAGCUUUGCAAAUCCUUCCUUCCAAACACACACAGCCCCAGCUCAGAGAGGAGCCUCAUAUGCCAGACUUUCUGUUGUGUAGCUUCAGUCUACGAAACUUAUUUCGUAAGUGGCAGUGACCUCUGCUCAGCAUUGGUACAGCUACAGAAAUCAUGAAAGAACAAGAGUAAGGCCUCCCAGAAGGAGAGCAUGGGUGAAGAUGGGUCUUCCAUAAUGAGCUGCUCUAAUACUGGCUGUGUGCUGAUUUGAUUAAGGACUCCAGCUGAAGAAGAGGGCCAAAUUCCCCUCGGUCUAAAUUAUGGGAGCUUCAAUACACACAGUGGAACUCUGCCAGCUUACAACUAUUAGGGAUCUCAUCCUCAGGGCUUUUCUCACAGCAGCAGUGUCCCAACUCACUGAAGGCUAAGGAGGGGAUCCAGGUGCAUAUAGGAUCCUGUUGCCAUUGCAGGUAUCCAAGGUCAGAGCUUAGAUCCUCAGUUACCCACACCCACCCACAGUAUCCCAGCCAUCAGUCUCAGGGCACCUAAGCUUUCAGGCUUUCCUGUGCCUAAAGUUAGGCACUAUGUGUUCAUAUCAUGUUGAUAUGCUCAGCACAUUAAAACCCUUCCUGUGCCAAAGCCCCACAGUGCCUCCAGCACCAGGACUACCCCAGGCUCCUGCAGCUUCAUCAAGCAUCCAGGGAACAUCAUGUGCAUGCAGCUGAGGCUGUACAAGCAGGAGGAGCAGGUGAUGGGAACAGCUCUGUCACGCCCACCCUGAGGCUGGCACACACAUCCAGCACUAAAUGCCUUUGUGGCGUUGAUUUUCAUUUUUUUCAUCUGCUUAGGUAAUGCAACCUGCUCGGCAUUUGAGGGCUGAGCUGCACUGCCAGGACAAGUCUGAGCCUGUUCAGCUUUUUCUGCUUCCUGAACAGUGAACAGCAGUCAGCUGUGCAUGCAGUGCCAAAUUGAGCCUGGCACGAAGACUCUGUGGGUCACUUUACAUUUUGUGUGGGCCUGUGAGAUUCAACUGAUUAGUGGCAGUUGAUGACAGUGAACACAAAAGGAAGUAAUGAUAACUGCAGAUAAUUCCUGUAGAAAUUAAUGCAACUAUUCAAAGAAUUUUUUCAGUCAUUUUUCAUUCACACCUUCUUGCCUGGUGCAGUUCUGCUAUGAAUGUGAUUUUUAAAUUUAUAUGAUUCAUUUUUGUAUGAUUUAAAUGUGGUGUAGUUGACUCAGUGAAAACAUUGUUCUGAAAAUGUUCUUUGCCAAAAGACUAAGCUCUAAAAUGAGUUUAUUGCUAAAUAAACAUCCCAAGUUGGCUUAAGCAGCAUAUUAACGGACUUGCAAAUCAGGGUUUUUUUGCAGGAGGUGAGUAUUAAUCAUGAUGGAAUAAUGUAAAUAAAUGAAAUAUCAAUACAAAUAAUUUCUACGCAUUCAUAGGAACAGUAAUCAGUGUUACAAAGAAUGGGCUAACUUUUAGUUAUGUUACUGAAACUAGAAUCCCUUCACUGUGGUACUGGUGUUUAAAAUGUAUCCUUUAGGGAACUUCACAUCUAUAAGAUUUGAAUCCACAACAUGCAAGAUAAUAGAAAUAGCUAGAAGGAAAACAGAGGCAAAUGGGCCUUGGAUUGCCCUGCUCUCUGAAUAGAAGAAAGAACUGAACAUACUCUUCUUUAUUUGGACUCACAGUGCAUUAAAGGAGAGCACUCCUUUGAAAAUAUGUUUACGUAUUUCUUACAAAUCAUGAUUAACCUAUAGAAAUGCAAUGUGACAAUAUGGCAAAAGGAAAUAAAUGUGUAUUGGUUGCUUUCUGCAUGAUUAAUGCUUCUUUCCAUCAGACACAUACAUUUCAUUUUAUUAAAGAUCACAUUUCUGAUUGCAAGAACUUGAUCAUAAAUAAAGCAUGCAAGUGGAAGUUGGAAAUCUUUUAAUAUUAAUGACAAGAAAAAUGGAUUUAUUGAAUAGUCACCUGCAGUUCAUACAUACAUAAGCACAUAAAAUGAUAACCCAGCAGAGGUACCAUCUCCAACUUGGGAGGAGAGAUUCUGGUUUUUUUAACAGCUUAAUAAUAAUAGUGCUACAUUUAGAGAAAAUUAUUUCUGUCUUCUGUGUCUAAGAAGAACAGAAUAACAGCCAUUUAUCAGCUACUUUCUACCUUGUCAUUUCUCCUAGGAACUAUAAAGUUUGUCUUUACUUGUUUACAACUCAAUCCAGCACUGGUGGUCUUCAAUGUAAUAGUUUUGAACUCGGUUUUUUUGCCAACUUGGAAUUUGGAAAAAAAACCCCAACAAUGCCCCCCCCCCCCCCCCACCCAGAAAAAGAAAAGACCCAACCAAGAAAAGAAAAAAGGAGUUUCUGAUGAAUAAGGAAGAGAUUAAGCUAUUCAAAUGGGAUUUUUUUUGUCCAAGGAGCUGACAGAUGAGAAAUCUAGUGCAUUAUUGAGAACAUUAUAACUCUGCUAAAAAAUUAUCAUGUCAAUAACCAAAAAUAAUUGAAACAGGGGUAAUAGCUUUCACAUCAGAUAGUACAGUGUUGAUGAGGCUGCACAGGAAUUGUAAACAUGAAUACAGCUUCCAGAAAAACUUCUAAGGAAACUUCUAGAGCAGUAUGACUGGUUAGGAUGUAAAGCAACUAGAAAUCUGCUCUCUAAGCCAGCAGGCUGCAGAAAUAAUGUGGUUGCACUGUGGAAAGGACCAUCAGAAAAGCUCUGUGAAUCGACCAGUAGUUUUCCUAUCACCCCUACCAGGCUGCCUGCCUGCUUAGCCCACAUGGAAAGGAGCAUCUGAGGACAAGUAAUCUGCAGCUCUGUCCCCUCUAUGUCACAGCCAGGGCUGAUUCACACAUCCUGGAGCCACUGCUACCUCACUGGAAUUUAGUCCACCAAAGCUGCUCCCCGUGCCCCAGCUCUGCUGGGCAGCACCCUUCCUUCCAGUCACCCCCAGCACAGCAGCUGCUGGGAGUAUCUCUCACCUGGUUGGUGUGUAAGAGAACUGGGUUGUUGCAGGUAACUCCAUUACUCCUGGCACACCAAGGUAUACAAAGAGAGGAAAGAGCUGGGAGAUGCACGGGGGUAAGCAGCACAUAGAAAAAACUUGAGCAAGCUUUGGGCUCAGGGUGAGCUCCCAAAGGUUUUGCAAAGAGCAGCUGUGGAAGAUUUGCUGCUUGCAUGUCUCCAGCAGGCAGGGCAGCUGUCCCAGCUGGCCCAGGAUGGGACAUAUCCUCCAAAGGAUGCUUGGUGCAGCCAAAGAUGCUGAAAGCCAAAGGGAAAAGAGUUCUUUUCCACAUAAACUUUCUUAGAGGAUCUAGCCAUGACUAUGAAUUGUCAAAUAAAUUAUUUUAAAAAUAAAGAA